This 253-nucleotide unclassified non-coding RNA is filed under the name uncultured Pseudobdellovibrionaceae bacterium. Its description in RNAcentral is "uncultured Bdellovibrionaceae bacterium contains 16S-23S intergenic spacer region". It matches the Rfam family "Bacterial small subunit ribosomal RNA", at positions 524 to 776 of the family's 1533-position model. The record is from RNAcentral. Lineage: Bacteria; Pseudomonadati; Bdellovibrionota; Bdellovibrionia; Bdellovibrionales; Pseudobdellovibrionaceae.
UACGAGGGGUCCAAGCGUUGUUCGGAAUUACUGGGCGUAAAGCGGGUGUAGGUGGCUAGGUAAGUUGGAUGUGAAAGCCCAGGGCUCAACCUUGGAAGUGCAUCCAAAACUGCUUAGCUUGAGUACUAGAGAGGGAAGUGGAAUUCCUGGUGUAGCGGUGAAAUGCGUAGAUAUCAGGAGGAACAUCGGUGGCGAAGGCGGCUUCCUGGCUAAGUACUGACACUCAGACCCGAAAGCGUGGGUAGCAAACAGG